AGCUCCAAGAGCAUCUAUUAAAGUUGUUGCAGUUAAAAAGCUCGUAGUUGGACUUCUGGUACGCGUUUACCAUCCUUCUGGUUAACAAGCUUACCCUUAACUGGGCCGGGUUUGUGAUCCAGAUCUUUUACUUUGAAAAAAUUAGAGUGUUUAAAGCAGGCUAUUGCUAUGAAUACAUUAGCAUGGAAUAAUAAUCUAGGACUUCGGUUCUAUUU
RNAcentral lists this ribosomal RNA (215 nucleotides) under uncultured Thecofilosea. Its description in RNAcentral is "partial small subunit ribosomal RNA". It matches the Rfam family "Eukaryotic small subunit ribosomal RNA", at positions 587 to 841 of the family's 1831-position model. Lineage: Eukaryota; Cercozoa; Thecofilosea. The record is from RNAcentral.